Non-coding RNA from Stegodyphus mimosarum, 76 nucleotides. The record is from Rfam. Lineage: Eukaryota; Metazoa; Arthropoda; Arachnida; Araneae; Eresidae.
GCCUUCGUGGGGUAGUGGUCGUCAGCACGCUCGACUCGUAACCGAGAGGUCCGUGGUUCAAUUCCCGGCGAAGGCG